Molecule: ribosomal RNA, 253 nt
Filed under: uncultured bacterium
Lineage: Bacteria
Description: partial 16S ribosomal RNA
Rfam family: Bacterial small subunit ribosomal RNA
Source: RNAcentral
UACGUAGGGACCAAGCGUUGUUCGGAUUUACUGGGCGUAAAGGGCGCGUAGGCGGCGCGGUAAGUCACUUGUGAAAUCUCUGAGCUUAACUCAGAACGGCCAAGUGAUACUGCAGUGCUAGAGUGUGGAAGGGGCAAUCGGAAUUCUUGGUGUAGCGGUGAAAUGCGUAGAUAUCUGGAGGAAUACCGGUGGCGAAGGCGGCAUCCUGGACCGAGAUUGACACUGAUGAGCGAAAGCCAGGGGAGCAAACGGG